UGCUUAAAUAAAAAAGAUAAUGCCUUGCUAUAACCCAGCAAAUCAGAAUGACAGCAUCAACAAUACUACGACCUCAAGUGCAAUCUGUUCCCAAUCCUAUAGAUGCAACCAUUAACGGGAAAUCUUGAAAGCAUAUUGUCAUCUAUCUUUCUAUGUGUACUGAAAGGCGUUCACCUAGUCUUUUUUUGACAUGCAGGGAGGACUUAUCAGAAAACCUAUUAGAUGGAUAUAAAACUGUAAGUUGCUUCUGCCUGUUCCUUAUAAUUUCUUACCAUGUACAAUUAAGUAUAGUUUGUUAAAUGUGUCUUCUGCUUUGCCUUAUGCAUGCGCCACUGUGAGUGGACGAAGAUCUUGUAACAGUGAAAUUUAUAAAAAUUCUCAUAACUCAUCCUCAGCAGAUGAGCAAAAUUCUAACUGAUAGAUCCUGAUGAAGAUACCACAGUACUGAUUGAUUAAUUAUUGCAUGUAUUCCUCAACUGAAGAAUCGGAAAAUAGUUUCCACUUACAUUCUAAAACUUGCAUGAACACAUUUCUUUUUUCUGAUACAGAGGAACUAUAAAUGGGUUAGUAUUUGUAAGGCUUCCGACCUUUCAAAUUCCAAUUGUCAAAACUAAAAGCGAAGGCAAAAUCCUUCCUAAUUCACAUCUUUGUGGAAAGAAUUUCUUUAGUAAUUCCUUACAUAAGGAUUCAGAAAAUUCCGGAUCUCCACCUACACUAGGAUAGGCUGGUUUGUUUGAAGAGAAUCUUUUCUAUGAUCUAUUAUCAGACCCGAUCAUAUCGCUGUCACAUGCUUUACAUACGCAUCACAACGCAUCACAACGCAUACUUGAUGUCUUAAAUAGAGUAGUGAACCAUCCACAAUUUUCCCUAAUAAAAUUUAGGUUUAACAAGUCCUAUUCAAAUCACGUAUAUAUCAACACUAUCCUAUACUUAGCUAAAUACCAUUGAUGAGUAUUGAAACUUGCAAUUGUAGAUUAUAUACGGGGUACCUGUACUCUGGAGCAAUCGAUAUACUUUUCAAUGGAGGAGAGGGAGACAACAUCCUUGUAGACAUGUCUGUAGAUUUUAAGUAUCUUGUGUUGGCGAUGACUUCCUGAAGAGAUGCAGUACUGACAAGCAGAUGAAUCACAGUUGAUGCAAUACUUAUUUAAGUCAUUCCUACGAAUUGGGCGUGCUGAACAUGAUUGGAAGAAAGUCUUCUGGAGGAAAGAGCUGAGCCAUUCUGGCUGUUGCUUCUUGCGAUGGUUUUGCAUUAUCAGCCUGUUAAAAAGACACGUUGGUUAGACUAUGUACAUUCAACUUUACCCUUUUCUCCCCCUGGUAAAUUUCAUACAAGAAACAAUACAAGAUAAAAUUGGAAUCUAUACAAAUGUUAUUAUCGGGACAGAAGAAUUAAAAUAAUAUGAACCGAAAGAAAUCUAUUAACAUUGUAAAGGAUAUGAGUUUAGCAUUUUGAAGGAUAUCAUAACUCAUAUUCUGGAUAAAAAGCAUGGAUGGGAAGCUGGAGCUCACGAUCUAUUGAAUAAAAGAAUGGUUAUGCCUGCUUCAAGAAAGCUGGUCCUUAUUCAGGGGAUCAAUCCAUUUUGUGGGGAAGUCAGCUUGAGGUUCAGGUAUCUAUGAAACUUAUGUGGAGAUUAUGUUUAUUAUGUCUCACUCUUCUUACUGAGGUUAGUGCUCUUCAUUAUCAUUCAUUGAAAAUUCAGCUUCCUCCUAUCUUGAUUUACUUGCAUUCUUUUUUUUUUUUUUUGUCCAUUUGCUAUGGCCUAAUGAGAAUCUACUUCUACUUCACCCAUCUGUUAUACCUUUUUCAUUGGUCUAAUUUAACCAUUGCUGAUAUAGGUUUUUUUGCUGCCUGAGAGAUUAUAAAGAGAGUCUAAGGGAUAUGAAGUUUAUGUGUCUCCAUCGAGGAACCUUCUCAUUCAGCAAAUUAUGUUACUCAUGGCAAUGAAACAGGAAGGCAUGUAGCUAACUAACAGGCAAAGAUAAUUUUCACGAUAAUGGGUAUUUGUUGGUUUUCAUAGUAUGACGCAAAGCUUUCUUGAGAUAUGCUAAUAUGCAUCAUACAAAGAUAUGCUAAAAGAAAGCUCUUUUCUAUUCUAUAGUGGUCAUUUAUAGAGAAAUGGACAUAUCAUUGACUAUCCGACACGCUCUAUUCCGAGCAAAACGACAACUCUUGGUCUUCACGGUUACAUGGUUCAAAGAUAUCUGGACAUAUGCUCAAAAGAACAAUAGCAAAUGUACACUGAAAUUAAAGCCGUGUAAAUUUUUUGACUCGAUAGUAGGAAGACAGAACUGAGGUUGCAUAUGUGAUAAUUUCUGAUUUGUAUUUCACAUAGAAAGUGAUGUCUAUGGCAUGCUCAUGGAUUUAAGUCAUGUCACAAGACACCGGCAAUACACAUUGUAUGUAGAGGUCUUAGCCGCUUGAGGUUAAAAUAUCUGUUUGAUCUAAUCAUUUGACCUUUGCAGAAGAGAAAAAUCGGAUCUCUUACAUCAUAUUUCGCACUAGUUUUAAUAGCCCUAUGCAUUUUUUAUCCUAUAUCUAUGUGCAGAUGCAAUGAUUUCUUGUGAUAUUAUCAACUCCUGUAUGCCGACUGAUCGUUUAACGACAAAAUCAAGAUAUGCAUCGGCAACUUCAAGGCACUUUUGGCAAGAGAAAUUAGUCUCCUGUGAAAAUAUUCUGUGAUGACAAAAAGGUCGGUAUCUGUACUGGUGUUUGUGUCUUUUGGUCAAAAAGUCUGAGGUAGUUUAUCAAUUCAACCAUGCACAAGUGUGAUUUUUUAUCUCUGAUAGCCACAGAUCUUAAUCUUUUUUUCAUUAUUUGCAAUUUAAUCUGUUGUGGAGAGUAGGAAGUAGUCAAAAUAAAUUGGUAGAUGUGUUCUUCCAUGACCUAAUCUAGUCUAUGCUACGCAAUAAAAAAGUUGACCGUGCUUAAAGAAUGAGAUCAAGGAGCCUUAAGGAAUGAUCUGAUGCUACAAAGCAGUCAAAGGUAAGUAAUGAAAGGUUUCAUGUAUAUACGAGAGAAAACAUCGAAAACAUUAGCUGUCUCACAAAUGGUGUGCUAAUUGAGGAGGAGGAAGACUUACCAUAUUUCUUGUCAGGACAAAAUCAGUCCUGGAUCUCAAGGUGUUGCAGAAAUGGAAGCGUAGCCCGGAAAUUGAAGAAGAAUCGUGCAAGGGAUCAUGAAGACGAUACCGAGCGCAUGAUCGUAUACACUAUCAGGAAGACGAUAGUAGGAACGGGAAUUAUCAAUGAAAGAAAAUUGUAUAUAAUGGACUUGGCCAUGAAACCAAGGCAAAAUCUGGCAGGGUUCGGGGAAUCGGUCAUGUCACACCAAACAUCCCCACUCUACAGCUGUCGAGACCUUAAUCCACGUGUUCAUUGCUGUUUGGACGAUUGAACGUCUAUCUCGCCAUUUUUUUUUUCAUG
Long non-coding RNA from Rhodamnia argentea, 3426 nucleotides. RefSeq lists it as uncharacterized. The record is from RefSeq and is a predicted model, not a curated record. NCBI's taxonomy places the organism in Eukaryota, Viridiplantae, Streptophyta, Magnoliopsida, Myrtales, Myrtaceae. The transcript has 2 exons.